This is a long non-coding RNA of Haliotis rubra (blacklip abalone), 296 nucleotides long. RefSeq lists it as uncharacterized. The transcript is spliced from 2 exons. NCBI's taxonomy places the organism in Eukaryota, Metazoa, Mollusca, Gastropoda, Lepetellida, Haliotidae. The record is from RefSeq and is a predicted model, not a curated record.
UGGAGACACUCUGUAAAACUGCCAUGAAGAUUUCAUCAUAUUCUUCAUUUGUCAAUGACUUGCCAACCACCCUCCUUGGCUUACGCACAUCCCCAUCUGCUGCAGGCUACAACAGAAAAAUAAUUUGAACCAUUAGAUAUUAUAGGAAACAGAAGACAUGGUAUAUUUGGGAUUACACUUUCUCGAUCGAUGCAGCCUUCCUUUCUGGAUUUUUCAUCUUCUCUCUGCAAUCAGAAAUAUGUUGUUCAGGAGAAAACGAUGCAUUGCUGUAUUUUUAAAUAAACAAUACUAUCACA